This 2063-nucleotide long non-coding RNA is filed under the name Homo sapiens (human). Its description in RNAcentral is "HSALNT0297985". Lineage: Eukaryota; Metazoa; Chordata; Mammalia; Primates; Hominidae. The record is from RNAcentral.
CUGCCGUCAUGUAAGAAGUGCCUUUCACCACCCGCCAUGAUUCUGAGGCCUCCUCAACCAUGUGGAACUGGCCUCAGCAGAAGAAUGUCCUCCCCUCCAUCUGGAAGGCUCCUGAAUCUAGGGAAGCUCUGUAGCCUCUCUGACCCCAACCCUUUCAAAGCCUCUAACGGCAGGGUACCAAGUGGGGAGCCAAGUUGACAGCUGAAGAAGAGCAAAUGGACACACCCUGAAAAUUCAGCUUGGGGUCCACUAUCACAGGACUUGGCUGUUCUUGCUGUGCGCCAGGAAGCCAGCCUUGGUCCCCUCUUCCUGGGCAGCAGUGGAGCCACUGGAUCCAAGACAUAGGUUCCAUCUCCCAUCUUCCUCUCCCCUUAAAGGCCCUUGGGUUGGAAUGACAUCAAGAAGAUGCUGACAUCUUAGGACAGAGAGAUGAAGUGGAACAGGCAAAGAUGGGGUAGAGUCACCUGAAUGGGGGAAUAAAGACAUUUAACUCUUCAACACAGGCACUGCACUAAAGGCUGGGGAUGUGAGAUGAAGGAGACCUGCUCCCUGACCUCACAGACCAGCAAAGAGAGAGACAGCUACAAGAACACAGAGGUCAGACUCAAAGGAGGGCAGGAAUCAUUCUGUGAGGGUAGAAAGCCAAGGAAGGUUUCUCAAGGAGAAUGAGGAGGUCCAUUAUUACAUAAUCACCAGGCAAACCAAGGGUAGCCCCAUUUGCUCUCCUGGCAGCUGAGCCCUCUCCAGGAAUUGCUUUUAGUCCAAGAGAGCUGCCUCACCCACUGACAUGGCCCCUUCCUGGAGGCAGCCCACAUCAAUAACUGGUCAAGAGGUAGAAGGUUAUAAACAUCCAGUUCCCUUGACUCAAGGCAGGACAACUGUGAAGGGUGUCUCAAUUCAAGAGCAACAUGGGGCCAACUAGGUGAUGCCUCUGCCACAACUGCCCAGCAGUCCAAUUUUCCCCUUGCUUAAUCUUGUUUGCCUAAUUCCUUCAAAGUUGUCCAUCCCACGAGCACUUGCCAGUGAACUACCUGUUCACAAAUUUCCAUCUCCAAGUCCAUUUCCCGUAUUUCCACCAUCUCAGCCAGGCACAAGGCACAGGCCAGAGGUUUUCAAGAACAGCAUCUCAGAAGGACACAAAUCGGACAUGUAAGUUACCUACAUUUUAAACAAGCAAAGCACUGAUUAUUUGUCAAAGAUGCAAGCUUUCUCCCAGAGCCCUCUGAAAGUUGUGUGAGUCCCUGAAGAAUCUACCUGGAAAAUUCCAUUGCCCCGAGGAGCUUUCUCAAAAUGUAUUCCUGCCACCUGCUUCCCUGCGUAUAAUCCUCGCUCUCCACAAGUCUGUUUAUCCAUAGACACAAAAUGUUAGAGCUGUCACCAGGAAUACAAAUGGGGAGAAAGCCACCCUCAAGCCAAUCAAUAAUGCUGGAGACGAAGCAACUGCAGCACUCUGCGGGUCAUAGAUUAUGAAGCACAAAGAAAGGAAACUCAACUCCUAGCAUUGUAUUGUAGCUGAUGGUCAGUAAGGAAAGCUCAUGUUCCAAUCUGAUUCUAUUUUAGCCACUUGGCAGAAAAUCAUCACUGAGGCACAAAUGAGAUGGCCUUGAAGGUGAAUAAAAAUCUUGGGUUCACUUUCCAAGACUUCAACAUCACAGAACUUUUCAGGAGCUCUGCCUCUCUGCAAGGCUUGCACGUCUAUUUACAAAGGCAAAAGCUUCUGUAAAGUACCUGGGUUACCAAAGCAGGCUGGGAGCUGAUAAUCCAAUUUGUUUUCCCUUCAAUAAAUCGUUCAUUAAUGUUGCUAAGAAAUUUACAGCUUAAAAUGGUUUUAUGACUAGAGAUUAAAAAAGAACCGUUCCAAUAAAUUUCAUAUAACUGAGAAGAUUCCUGUCAUUUUGAUUAAGUAGUUCCUUGUGAUGAUAAAGUUUUAUCUUGAAUAAUGAAGGGGGAAAGCAUUAAUCACUUUAAAGUCAUUGUUGCCUGGUCUCUGGAGCCAACAGCCCAGCAGGCUGUCCUAGGGGGUUACUCAGAAACACAAUUUAAAAAACAAAAAUAAACCUACC